This 486-nucleotide ribosomal RNA is filed under the name uncultured bacterium. RNAcentral's name for it is "bacterial SSU rRNA". It matches the Rfam family "Bacterial small subunit ribosomal RNA", at positions 28 to 533 of the family's 1533-position model. The record is from RNAcentral.
GACGAACGCUGGCGGCGUGCUUAACACAUGCAAGUCGAACGGGAGUAUUGAAGAAGCUUGCUUUAGAGAUACUUUAGUGGCGGACGGGUGAGUAACGCGUGAGGAGCUGUCCUAUGCAGGGGGACAACAGCUGGAAACGGCUGCUAAUACCCCAUAAGCCGAGAGGUAAAAGGAUCAAUCCGGCAGAGGAGGUACUCGCGUCCUAUCAGCUAGUAGGUGAGGUAACGGCUCACCUAGGCGAAGACGGGUAGCCGGCCUGAGAGGGCGAACGGCCACACUGGAACUGAGAUACGGUCCAGACUCCUACGGGAGGCAGCAGUGGGGAAUAUUGGGCAAUGGGGGAAACCCUGACCCAGCGACGCCGCGUGGGUGAAGAAAUCCUUCGGGAUGUAAAGCCCUGUUGUAUGGGAAGAGCGGAAAGACGGUACCAUACGAGGAAAGCCCCGGCAAACUACGUGCCAGCAGCCGCGGUAAUCAACGAGAGUA